This 1032-nucleotide long non-coding RNA is filed under the name Coturnix japonica (Japanese quail). RNAcentral's name for it is "lncRNA (ENSCJPG00005015555.1)". Lineage: Eukaryota; Metazoa; Chordata; Aves; Galliformes; Phasianidae. The record is from RNAcentral.
AAUUGGUUUGCAUUGUAUUACUAUGUAUGUUCUUACAAAAAGUAGCACAGUGCUUAAGGACUACUUUCUAUUGUUGUACUCAAGUUCUUACUAGAAACUUUCCAUUGGUGAGAAGGGAUAAAGAGUGAAUGCCAGUGCCAAAAUUCAACACAGGUCUUUAAUGACAGAGCUAAGUACAGAAAUUUGAAAUCUUCUAAUGUUGACAGUUGUACUCAGACCACAUCUUUAUCUUAAGCUAUGGUAUUAAUAAUGCAUCUUUGUUGUUUAUUUAUGGGCUUGUUUUUCCCCCCUCCUCCCACUCCUUCCCCCCACCCCUCCCUUUUUUUUUUUUUUUUUUUUUUUUCUUUUUUUUUUUUUUUUUUUCUUCCCAGUAUUACCUUUGAGUAAUUGCCAGGAAUCUCACUCUACAGUCUGGAGAGACAACAGAAUCUGUGUUCUGCAAUUAAAACUUAGGGAGUUUUUAACGAGAGUUCUGAGGCUGAUUCACAGUUCAAAGUUAGGCAGCCCAGUUUCUUUUUACUUUCCUUUUUUUUUUUUUUUCUUUUUUUCCCCCCCCCCUCUACAUUUCCUUUCCCUUCCCUUCCCUUCUCCUUCCCUUCCCUUCCCUUCCCUUCCCUUCCCUUCCCUUCCCUUCCCUUCCUCCUUUCCCUUCCCUUCGUCCUUCCCUUCCCUUCUCAUUUUUCCAUUUUUCCCCUUUCCUUCCCCUUUUUCCCCUUUUUCCCCAUUUUUCCCUUUUUCCCCUUUUUCUCCCCUUUUUCCCCCUUCUUUCCCCUUUCUUCCCCCUUUUUCCCCUUUUUCCCUUUUCCUUUUUCCUCUUUCUUCCUCCUUUUUCCUCCUUUUUCCUUUUCUUUCCUUUUUUCCCGCUCCUUUUUUCCCCUUUUUCUCCCUUUUUCCCCUUUUUCCCCUUUUCCCCUUUUUUUUCCCCUUUUUUCCCAUUUUCCUCCUUUUCCCCUUUUUCGCCUUUUUCCUUCCCUUCCCCUUUCCCUUUUUCCCUUUCCUUUUUUCCCUUUCCCUUUUUCUCUUCCUUUUUCC